Molecule: ribosomal RNA, 273 nt
Filed under: uncultured bacterium
Lineage: Bacteria
Description: partial 16S ribosomal RNA
Rfam family: Bacterial small subunit ribosomal RNA
Source: RNAcentral
UACGAAGGGGGCUAGCGUUGCUCGGAAUCACUGGGCGUAAAGGGCGCGUAGGCGGCCGAUUAAGUCGGGGGUGAAAGCCUGUGGCUCAACCACAGAAUUGCCUUCGAUACUGGUUGGCUUGAGACCGGAAGAGGACAGCGGAACUGCGAGUGUAGAGGUGAAAUUCGUAGAUAUUCGCAAGAACACCAGUGGCGAAGGCGGCUGUCUGGUCCGGUUCUGACGCUGAGGCGCGAAAGCGUGGGGAGCAAACAGGAUUAGAUACCCCCGUAGUCC